GUGACACUUUGUAAAAAUAAACUCAGAAGACUGCUGCUAGAGACUGUAAUUGCUGGCUCCGGCGGGCGCCUUGCGGCCGGGGCCCCCCCUGGGGCGGCCCGCCGGAGCAUAUCGUGGCGGUAUGUUCACAGUGGUUUGGGAGUCGGGUGACUCUGUAAUGAUCCCUCCGCUGGUUCACCAACGGAGA
This 187-nucleotide unclassified non-coding RNA is filed under the name uncultured fungus. RNAcentral describes it as "sequence contains ITS1". Lineage: Eukaryota; Fungi. The record is from RNAcentral.